RNAcentral lists this ribosomal RNA (83 nucleotides) under Acanthosepion pharaonis. Lineage: Eukaryota; Metazoa; Mollusca; Cephalopoda; Sepiida; Sepiidae. The record is from RNAcentral.
CGUUCGAUCACCGAAGUUAAGCAUCGUAGAGCCAGGUCAGUACUUAGAUGGGGGACCGCUUGGGAACACCUGGUACUGUAAGC